AUUGAACGCUGGCGGCAUGCCUUACACAUGCAAGUCGAACGGCAGCACGGGUGCUUGCACCUGGUGGCGAGUGGCGAACGGGUGAGUAAUACAUCGGAACAUGUCCUGUAGUGGGGGAUAGCCCGGCGAAAGCCGGAUUAAUACCGCAUACGAUCUACGGAUGAAAGCGGGGGACCUACGGGCCUCGCGCUAUAGGGUUGGCCGAUGGCUGAUUAGCUAGUUGGUGGGGUAAAGGCCUACCAAGGCGACGAUCAGUAGCUGGUCUGAGAGGACGACCAGCCACACUGGGACUGAGACACGGCCCAGACUCCUACGGGAGGCAGCAGUGGGGAAUUUUGGACAAUGGGCGAAAGCCUGAUCCAGCAAUGCCGCGUGUGUGAAGAAGGCCUUCGGGUUGUAAAGCACUUUUGUCCGGAAAGAAAUCCUUGGCCCUAAUACGGUCGGGGGAUGACGGUACCGGAAGAAUAAGCACCGGCUAACUACGUG
RNAcentral lists this ribosomal RNA (486 nucleotides) under uncultured bacterium. RNAcentral's name for it is "partial 16S ribosomal RNA". It matches the Rfam family "Bacterial small subunit ribosomal RNA", at positions 30 to 507 of the family's 1533-position model. The record is from RNAcentral.